UGGAACUCCAUAUGUAAAAAAUUGACCAAGGGAUGAGUAGAACCAAAACACAAGUAGUUGGACGGGGUAUCUUGAAUUUAUUUUAUUUUUUUAGAAAACUGUCAUCAUUCUGCAUGUAAAAUUACAACUAAAAAAGAGUUGCUUAGUUUGGUGACGUUUAGCAUGUUGCUAGUGAAUGAACAUUGAAUUCAGAGGCAGAAAUGGUUGGGGAAAGGUAAGUUGAAGUUCAUAAAAGGCCUACCUUUCUUGAGAGCAGAAACAAAUCAAACCCCCCCUGGCUUUGGAUUUGAUCCUUUGGGGGUGUAUGAGGUUUGAAUCGAGUGAACCCAGUUGAAAAUUAAGCGCUCUAAAUGCUCCUAAACUAGAAAACAACAAAAUCAACUAAUUUAGAGAGGAACAGUGUGACUAACUUUAAAAUGAAGUAAACUUGGUUCAAACAGGACCUCCACUUCACAAGCAUUACCAAACAUUUGAAAUGACACAAAACCAAUUCAAGAGUAGUAGCUUCAUUUACAAACUCUACUUUUUAUCCACUCAUAGAAAUUCCCCAAAAGAAAAGAAAGUAAAAUGAACAUGAAACCCACAAAACAAAACCAUUUUCUUACAAAAAACUCUUUCAAGAAAUGUUUUGUCCCGGUCUUGUGUCACUCUGUGUCUAAGGCCAUUUAUGAAGAAAGACAAGUCCGGGAGUGUAGUGGAACAGAAGGCCAAGACAAAUUAGUGACACGGGUUGAGAUAGCGAGAGAGUCUGAGCCACAAAUUGAAGUCCUCCCUCAUUAUUCAGUAGUAGGAACUAACUAGGAGGGGUAUGUGUGAGUCUUGUUAAAUGUACAUUUGGAGGUUUGAGACUUUUUGAGACUCAAAAAGCUAAAAGAGAAAC
Molecule: long non-coding RNA, 880 nt
Filed under: Panax ginseng (ginseng)
Lineage: Eukaryota; Viridiplantae; Streptophyta; Magnoliopsida; Apiales; Araliaceae
Description: long non-coding RNA (PGIN_LNC003724)
Source: RNAcentral